RNAcentral lists this non-coding RNA (31 nucleotides) under Mus musculus (house mouse). The record is from RNAcentral. Lineage: Eukaryota; Metazoa; Chordata; Mammalia; Rodentia; Muridae.
UGAUUUCUUUAUAGAGGUCCAGCAUCUGCCC